UCAGCUCAAGCCAUUCUCCCACCUCAGCCUCCCAAGUAGGUGGUACUACAAGUGUGUGCUACCACACCUGGCUAAAAGUAUCCUUAUUGAACGUGAAUUUUAGAUUUCAGUUACUGAGAACAAAGUAAUUGCAGAAAAAGACAAGAUGAAUAAACUCAGUUGGUAUUUACUCUUGGCUUCAUGGGGCUUCCUUUCCAGCUCUGAAUAAAACAAAGGCCACCACUCAUAAGAACCAAGAAGAGAAGAACACUCUACCUACUGUCACCCUCAAGGUUCUCCCUCCAGGCCAAUAAGCAAUUAUCACCACUGGGCUGGAACACUUUAGGAGGUUUGCCAGGAGGUCUGAGCUCCUCAAGGGCAAAAAUGAUGGCAUAUUUAUUCAUCUUUAUACCCAAAGGCAUCACAGCACUGGCACAUAGUAUGCACAGAGAAAACACAUUGAGCGAAUGGAUAAGAUUAUUAAUAUAAAUAAGCUAUGCUCCUUUCCCUCCAGAAGUUCCCAGUUGUGGUAGUGGCUGUCCAGUGGGGAGACAACCACUACUACAAAUAUAUGAAAAGUGCUAUAUAACUGAGAAAUCACCGAGGGCCAUAGUUUGCCAAUUAAUUUGAAAAAAAUCUCAAAAAUUGAUAUCAAGUGCUGAUAUUUUUAGAGAAGCCUUUUUGGUGAACAUGUUAAAAGAUUUGAGAAAAAUCUGUUAAUUUAAAAUGUGCAUUGGAUAUGACACUAAAGUAUGGGUAACAAAAGAAAAAAUAAACAAAUGGGACUACAUCAAGCUAAAAGGCUUCUGCACAGCAAAGAAAACAACCCACAAAAUGAAAAGGCAGCCUACAGAAUGGGAAAAAUUUUGCAAACCCUAUGGUAUAUAAGGGAACUCAUACAACUCAAUAGCAAUAAAUAAAUAAAAAUAACCAGAUUUUAAAAAUAAGCAAAAGACUUGAAUAGAUAUUUUUACAAAGAAGACAUAUAAAUAGCCAAUAGGUACAUGGAAAGGUACAAAACAGACUUCCUCUCAAGCUUGGCGUUUGCCCGGUGGGGACCCACGUGGAUUCCACAUGCGUAUGGAGAAAAGUGUUAUUUCUGCUGGGGCCAAUCUACCCUGGCCACGGCAUGAUGUUCGUCCGCAACGAUUGCAAGGUAUUCCGUUUUUGUAAAUCCAAAUGUCAUAAAAACUUUAAAAAGAAGUGCAACCCUCGCAAGGUCAGGUGGACUAAAGUCUUCCAGAAAGUAGCCGGUAAAGAGCUUAUAGUGGAUAAUUCAUUUGAAUUUGAAAAACGUAGAAAUGAACCUGUGAAAUACCAGAGAGAGCUAUGGAAUAAAACUACUGAUGCAAUGAAGAGAGUUGAAGAGAUCAAACAGAAACACCACGCCAAAUUUAUAAUGAACAGAUUGAAGAAAAAUAAAGAGCUACAGAAAGUUCAGGACAUCAAAGAAGUCAAACAAAACAUCCAUCUUAUCCAAGCCCCUCUUGUAGGUAAAGGAAAGCAGCUGGAAGAGAAAAUGGUACAGCAAUUACAACAGGAGGUGGACAUGGAAGAUGUUUCUUAAAAAUCUCACUGUAACCAUUUCUAUAUGUACAUUUGAAAGUGUCCACUAGAGACUAGAACUUCUAAGUUAUUGGUUUAUUUUUACAUAACGUCACUCAAAUAAAAAGUGAUUAAAAAUGUAUUUCCUACACUGCUGUCUGCAAAACAUCAGAUGGUAUGGAUGUUAGAUUGCAUCUCAAUGUUAAGCCUUUACUGAUAGAUGUGCUUAUGUAAAUUAUGAAAAUUCUGUUUGUAAAUAUAGAAAUGAAUUGUGGACAAAAUGGUCAUUCCAUUUGGAUAAUGGCACUAGGCAGCAUUUAUAUAUAACUUAGGACAAAAAUUCUGGCGAGUGAUAUGUAAAAUAAAAUUUUCUUUGCAGAAAAAAAAAAA
Non-coding RNA from Microcebus murinus (gray mouse lemur), 1914 nucleotides. Lineage: Eukaryota; Metazoa; Chordata; Mammalia; Primates; Cheirogaleidae. The record is from RefSeq and is a predicted model, not a curated record.